AUUCUGCCCAUGCGGGGAAGGAUGAGAAGCUUCGACUAAGGUUCGGCUCUCGACGUCGAGCGUUGCCGCAGGCAAAUCUAAUCUUCGAGGGGCGAAGCGCGCAGCGCUGAGUAAUCCUUCCCCCACCACCA
RNAcentral lists this small RNA (131 nucleotides) under Escherichia coli. RNAcentral describes it as "RtT sRNA". It matches the Rfam family "RtT RNA". Rfam says of the family: This family represents a bacterial cis-regulatory element known as RtT RNA. The exact function of RtT is unknown although it is thought that it may be involved in changing the cellular response in relation to amino acid starvation. Lineage: Bacteria; Pseudomonadati; Pseudomonadota; Gammaproteobacteria; Enterobacterales; Enterobacteriaceae. The record is from RNAcentral.